This 829-nucleotide ribosomal RNA is filed under the name Cladosporium sp. KH00290. Its description in RNAcentral is "eukaryotic LSU rRNA". It matches the Rfam family "Eukaryotic large subunit ribosomal RNA", at positions 72 to 927 of the family's 3401-position model. Lineage: Eukaryota; Fungi; Ascomycota; Dothideomycetes; Cladosporiales; Cladosporiaceae. The record is from RNAcentral.
GGAUUGCUCUAGUAACGGCGAGUGAAGCAGCAAUAGCUCAAAUUUGAAAUCUGGCGUCUUCGACGUCCGAGUUGUAAUUUGUAGAGGAUGCUUCUGAGUAACCACCGACCUAAGUUCCUUGGAACAGGACGUCAUAGAGGGUGAGAAUCCCGUAUGCGGUCGGAAAGGUGCUCUAUACGUAGCUCCUUCGACGAGUCGAGUUGUUUGGGAAUGCAGCUCUAAAUGGGAGGUAAAUUUCUUCUAAAGCUAAAUAUUGGCCAGAGACCGAUAGCGCACAAGUAGAGUGAUCGAAAGAUGAAAAGCACUUUGGAAAGAGAGUUAAAAAGCACGUGAAAUUGUUAAAAGGGAAGGGAUUGCAACCAGACUUGCUCGCGGUGUUCCGCCGGUCUUCUGACCGGUCUACUCGCCGCGUUGCAGGCCAGCAUCGUCUGGUGCCGCUGGAUAAGACUUGAGGAAUGUAGCUCCCUCGGGAGUGUUAUAGCCUCUUGUGAUGCAGCGAGCGCCGGGCGAGGUCCGCGCUUCGGCUAGGAUGCUGGCGUAAUGGUCGUAAUCCGCCCGUCUUGAAACACGGACCAAGGAGUCUAACAUCUAUGCGAGUGUUCGGGUGUCAAACCCCUACGCGUAAUGAAAGUGAACGGAGGUGAGAACCGCAAGGUGCAUCAUCGACCGAUCCUGAUGUCUUCGGAUGGAUUUGAGUAAGAGCAUAGCUGUUGGGACCCGAAAGAUGGUGAACUAUGCCUGAAUAGGGUGAAGCCAGAGGAAACUCUGGUGGAGGCUCGCAGCGGUUCUGACGUGCAAAUCGAUCGUCAAAUUUGGGUAUAGGGGCGAA